GAUGAACGCUGGCGGCGUGCCUAAUACAUGCAAGUCGAGCGAACAGACGAGGAGCUUGCUCCUUUGACGUUAGCGGCGGACGGGUGAGUAACACGUGGAUAACCUACCUAUAAGACUGGGAUAACUUCGGGAAACCGGAGCUAAUACCGGAUAACAUGUUGAACCGCAUGGUUCAACAGUGAAAGACGGUCUUGCUGUCACUUAUAGCUGGAUCCGCGCCGCAUUAGCUAGUUGGUAAGGUAACGGCUUACCAAGGCAACGAUGCGUAGCCGACCUGAGAGGGUGAUCGGCCACACUGGAACUGAGACACGGACCAGACUCCUACGGGAGGCAGCAGUAGGGAAUCUUCCGCAAUGGGCGAAAGCCUGACGGAGCAACGCCGCGUGAGUGAAGAAGGUCUUCGGAUCGUAAAACUCUGUUAUUAGGGAAGAACAAAUGUGUAAGUAACUAUGCACGUCUUGACGGUACCUAAUCAGAAAGCCACGGCUAACUACGUG
This 497-nucleotide ribosomal RNA is filed under the name uncultured bacterium. RNAcentral describes it as "partial 16S ribosomal RNA". It matches the Rfam family "Bacterial small subunit ribosomal RNA", at positions 28 to 507 of the family's 1533-position model. The record is from RNAcentral.